AACCGUAGUAAUUCUAGAGCUAAUACGUGCCACAAGGCGACUUUUGUCGUGGUAUAAAUUGGAGAUACAAACCAAUAUUUGGUGAUUCACGAUUUCUUUUCUGAUCGCACUAUGUGCGACGCAUCGUUCAAAUUUCUGACCUAUCAACUUUGGAUGGUAAGGUAUUGUCUUACCAUGGUUGUGACGGGUAACGGACCGUGGGUGCGGGACUCCGGAGAGGGAGCCUGAGAAACGGCUACCACAUCCAAGGAAGGCAGCAGGCGCGCAAAUUACCCAAUCCGGACACCGGGAGGUAGUGACAAGAAAUAGCAAUAGAGGGCCCGAUGGGUUUUCUAAUUGGAAUGAGAACAAGGUAAACAGCUUAUCGAGGAGCCAGCAGAGGGCAAGUCUGGUGCCAGCAGCCGCGGUAAUUCCAGCUCUGUAAGCGUAUACCAAAGUUGUUGCAGUUAAAACGCUCGUAGUCGGAACUUGGCGGGCGACGCAGGGCGUCUUUGCGGACGGAUCUGUAUCGGCCGCCUUUGUGGAGGGGGGCUUAGCGGUGCUUUAUUGCCUUGCUAAGUCGCUGCCACCGUUUACUGUGAAAAAAUUGGAGUGUUCAAAGCAGGCGUUUGCCUUGUACACAUUAGCAUGGAAUAAUAGAAUAGGACCUGGUUCUGUUUUGUUGGUUUGUGAGAAUUAGGUAAUGAUUAAGAGGGACGGUUGGGGGCAUUUGUAUUCUGCCGUCAGAGGUGAAAUUCUUAGAUUGGCGGAAGACAAACAGCUGCGAAAGCGUCUGCCAAGGACGUUUUCAUUGAUCAAGAACGAAAGUAAGGGGAUCGAAGACGAUCAGAUACCGUCGUAGUCUUUACUAUAAACGAUGAGGACUGGGGAUCGGGCGGCGCUGCUUUAUGGCCCGCCCGGCACCCUUCGGGAAACCAAAGUGUUUGCUUUCUGGGGGGAGUAUGGUCGCAAGGCUGAAACUUAAAGGAAUUGACGGAAGGGCAUCACCGGGUGUGGAGCCUGCGGCUUAAUUUGACUCAACACGGGGAAACUUACCAGGUCCGGACAUAGUGAGGAUUGACAGAUUGAGAGCUCUUUCUUGAUUCUAUGGUUGGUGGUGCAUGGCCGUUCUUAGUUGGUGGAGUGAUCUGUCUGGUUAAUUCCGUUAACGAGCGAGACCUGGGCGUGCUAGCUAGGCGCCGUUACCUCUUUCGGUAGCGAGGCUUGCCUUCCUAGACGGACUGCGGGCGUCUAGUCCGCGGAAGCUCCAGGCAAUAACAGGUCUGAGAUGCCCUUAGAUGUUCUGGGCCGCACGCGUGCUACACUGAGCGGGUCAACGGGUGAGGAUAGGCGAGAGCCUUUCCUAAUCUCUAAAUCCGCUCGUGCUGGGGAUCGAGGCUUGCAAUU
Molecule: ribosomal RNA, 1386 nt
Filed under: Gelidium sp.
Lineage: Eukaryota; Rhodophyta; Florideophyceae; Gelidiales; Gelidiaceae
Description: SSU rRNA
Rfam family: Eukaryotic small subunit ribosomal RNA
Source: RNAcentral